UGCAUGCGCAGCUACACAUGCAGUCGAGCGGUAACAGAUCCAGCUUGCUGGAUGCUGACGAGCGGCGGACGGGUGAGUAAUGCAUAGGAAUCUGCCCGAUAGUGGGGGAUAACCUGGGGAAACCCAGGCUAAUACCGCAUACGUCCUACGGGAGAAAGGGGGCUUCGGCUCCCGCUAUCGGAUGAGCCUAUGUCGGAUUAGCUAGUUGGUGAGGUAACGGCUCACCAAGGCCACGAUCCGUAGCUGGUCUGAGAGGAUGAUCAGCCACAUCGGGACUGAGACACGGCCCGAACUCCUACGGGAGGCAGCAGUGGGGAAUAUUGGACAAUGGGGGGAACCCUGAUCCAGCCAUGCCGCGUGUGUGAAGAAGGCCCUCGGGUUGUAAAGCACUUUCAGCGAGGAAGAACGCCUAGCGGUUAAUACCCGCUAGGAAAGACAUCACUCGCAGAAGAAGCACCGGCUAACUCCGUGCCAGCAGCCGCGGUAAUACGGAGGGUGCAAGCGUUAAUCGGAAUUACUGGGCGUAAAGCGCGCGUAGGUGGCUUGAUAAGCCGGUUGUGAAAGCCCCGGGCUCAACCUGGGAACGGCAUCCGGAACUGUCAAGCUAGAGUGCAGGAGAGGAAGGUAGAAUUCCCGGUGUAGCGGUGAAAUGCGUAGAGAUCGGGAGGAAUACCAGUGGCGAAGGCGGCCUUCUGGACUGACACUGACACUGAGGUGCGAAAGCGUGGGUAGCAAACAGGAUUAGUCCCCGG
RNAcentral lists this ribosomal RNA (752 nucleotides) under Vreelandella aquamarina. RNAcentral's name for it is "bacterial SSU rRNA". It matches the Rfam family "Bacterial small subunit ribosomal RNA", at positions 41 to 790 of the family's 1533-position model. Lineage: Bacteria; Pseudomonadati; Pseudomonadota; Gammaproteobacteria; Oceanospirillales; Halomonadaceae. The record is from RNAcentral.